This 60-nucleotide transfer RNA is filed under the name Lychas mucronatus (Chinese swimming scorpion). Its description in RNAcentral is "tRNA-His". Lineage: Eukaryota; Metazoa; Arthropoda; Arachnida; Scorpiones; Buthidae. The record is from RNAcentral.
ACUUAGAUAGUUUAAUUUAAAACCUUAAUUUGUGAAAUUAAAAAAGUCCAUCUCUAAAAA